RNAcentral lists this ribosomal RNA (908 nucleotides) under Staphylococcus saprophyticus. Its description in RNAcentral is "bacterial SSU rRNA". It matches the Rfam family "Bacterial small subunit ribosomal RNA", at positions 45 to 939 of the family's 1533-position model. The record is from RNAcentral. Lineage: Bacteria; Bacillati; Bacillota; Bacilli; Caryophanales; Staphylococcaceae.
UGGUCUAUCAUGCAGUCGAGCGAACGGAUAAGGAGCUUGCUCCUUUGAAGUUAGCGGCGGACGGGUGAGUAACACGUGGGUAACCUACCUAUAAGACUGGAAUAACUUCGGGAAACCGGAGCUAAUGCCGGAUAACAUUUGGAACCGCAUGGUUCUAAAGUAAAAGAUGGUUUUGCUAUCACUUAUAGAUGGACCCGCGCCGUAUUAGCUAGUUGGUAAGGUAACGGCUUACCAAGGCAACGAUACGUAGCCAACCUGAGAGGGUGAUCGGCCACACUGGAACUGAGACACGGUCCAGACUCCUACGGGAGGCAGCAGUAGGGAAUCUUCCGCAAUGGACGAAAGUCUGACGGAGCAACGCCGCGUGAGUGAUGAAGGUUUUCGGAUCGUAAAACUCUGUUAUUAGGGAAGAACAAAUGUGUAAGUAACUGUGCACAUCUUGACGGUACCUAAUCAGAAAGCCACGGCUAACUACGUGCCAGCAGCCGCGGUAAUACGUAGGUGGCAAGCGUUAUCCGGAAUUAUUGGGCGUAAAGCGCGCGUAGGCGGUUUCUUAAGUCUGAUGUGAAAGCCCACGGCUCAACCGUGGAGGGUCAUUGGAAACUGGGAAACUUGAGUACAGAAGAGGAAAGUGGAAUUCCAUGUGUAGCGGUGAAAUGCGCAGAGAUAUGGAGGAACACCAGUGGCGAAGGCGACUUUCUGGUCUGUAACUGACGCUGAUGUGCGAAAGCGUGGGGAUCAAACAGGAUUAGAUACCCUGGUAGUCCACGCCGUAAACGAUGAGUGCUAAGUGUUAGGGGGUUUCCGCCCCUUAGUGCUGCAGCUAACGCAUUAAGCACUCCGCCUGGGGAGUACGACCGCAAGGUUGAACUCAAAGAAUUGACGGGGACCCGCCAAGCGGUGGAGCA